Molecule: long non-coding RNA, 448 nt
Filed under: Sinocyclocheilus rhinocerous
Lineage: Eukaryota; Metazoa; Chordata; Actinopteri; Cypriniformes; Cyprinidae
Description: lncRNA (ENSSRHG00000048910.1)
Source: RNAcentral
GUCAGUGACCCCUGAAUGGAGUCGUGAUGACAAUCAUCAGAGCCUCACAGGUCAUGUGACUGUCUCCGCAAAAGCUCUGUUUCCGGCGGUGUCAGACGGUCCAGCAGUGUGUUACACAACCUCCGAAAUAAAGGCUCCUCGGUGGCUCUUUACGACGGUAGUCUGUUUGAUCUGGUCCUCACACUCCUCCACCCACACCUUUUUCCCCAUCACUCCAUCCAUCUCCUCCAUGCGCAGCGAGUUUGUCAUGCUGAGCUUUUCCACUCCGGAGGAAACGACUGAAAACACGGCCUGACCUGAGAAACACAUUCAAAACAUUGUUGUUGUUUUUUUUUCAUUACAUGACACCUUAUUUAAUACAAAUGCUAUUGUUUAUUUGUUAUUUGUAAAUUGUGCACUUAUUUAUAGUCAUUACUGUGUACAAUGCUUUGCCAAUAUUACAUAAUCA